RNAcentral lists this ribosomal RNA (582 nucleotides) under uncultured archaeon. Its description in RNAcentral is "bacterial SSU rRNA". It matches the Rfam family "Archaeal small subunit ribosomal RNA", at positions 335 to 921 of the family's 1478-position model. The record is from RNAcentral.
CAGGGCGAGAAACCUUUGCAAUGUGCGAAAGCACGACAAGGUAAUCCGAGUGUCUCCUGCUAAAGGAGUCUUUUGUCAGUUGUAGAAUCACUGGUGAAUAAGGGGUGGGCAAGUUCUGGUGUCAGCCGCCGCGGUAAAACCAGCGCCUCGAGUGGUCAGGAGGUUUAUUGGGCCUAAAGCAUCCGUAGCCGGUUGCAUAAGUUUUCGGUUAAAUCUAUGCGCUUAACGUAUAGGCCGCCGAAAAUACUGUGCAGCUAGGGAGUGGGAGAGGUACACGGUACUCGAUAGGAAGGGGUAAAAUCCUUUGAUCUAUUGAUGACCACCUGUGGCGAAGGCGGUGUACCAGAACACGUUCGACGGUGAGGGAUGAAAGCUGGGGGAGCAAACCGGAUUAGAUACCCGGGUAGUCCCAGCUGUAAACGAUGCAGACUCGGUGAUGCAUUGGCUUGUGGCCAAUGCAGUGCCGCAGGGAAGCCGUUAAGUCCGCCGCCUGGGAAGUACGUACGCAAGUAUGAACUUAAAGGAAUUGGCGGGGGAGCACCACAAGGGGUGAAGCCUGCGGUCAAUUGGAUUCAACGCCGA